GUAACUAUUAAAGUUUUUCUGACGCUGACUGCAAUUGCAAAAGGUUUAAAAGGGUCCUACUGGCAGGCAAGCCUGCCGAGGAAACAAUGGGUGCGCAAAAAUCAUGGGUAAUGUUCCGACAGGGCGGGGAGAAAUGCUGAUCCCAAAGGAACUGCAAUUCAAGGCCGGCCCCCGUGAUAUAACGUUUAAUGAUCCUUCCGCAGGUUCACCUACGGAAA
This 218-nucleotide unclassified non-coding RNA is filed under the name uncultured fungus. RNAcentral describes it as "sequence contains ITS1". The record is from RNAcentral. Lineage: Eukaryota; Fungi.